Molecule: ribosomal RNA, 433 nt
Filed under: uncultured bacterium
Lineage: Bacteria
Description: partial 16S ribosomal RNA
Rfam family: Bacterial small subunit ribosomal RNA
Source: RNAcentral
AACGAACGCUGGCGGCAUGCCUAACACAUGCCAGUCGAACGAGACCUUCGGGUCUAGUGGCGCACGGGUGCGUAACGCGUGGGAACCUGCCCUUAGGUUCGGAAUAACUCCCCGAAAGGGGUGCUAAUACCGGAUAAUGUCUUCGGACCAAAGAUUUAUCGCCCUUGGAUGGGCCCGCGUUGGAUUAGCUAGUUGGUAGGGUAAAAGCCUACCAAGGCGACGAUCCAUAGCUGGUCUGAGAGGAUGAUCAGCCACACUGGGACUGAGACACGGCCCAGACUCCUACGGGAGGCAGCAGUGGGGAAUAUUGGACAAUGGGCGAAAGCCUGAUCCAGCAAUGCCGCGUGAGUGAUGAAGGCCUUAGGGUUGUAAAGCUCUUUUACCCGGGAUGAUAAUGACAGUACCGGGAGAAUAAGCUCCGGCUAACUCCGUG